This is a non-coding RNA of Vicugna pacos (alpaca), 74 nucleotides long. The record is from the annotation of a RefSeq genome assembly. NCBI's taxonomy places the organism in Eukaryota, Metazoa, Chordata, Mammalia, Artiodactyla, Camelidae.
GGGAGGGUACAGCUCAGUGGUAGAGUGCUUGCUUUGCAUGCAUGAGGUCCUGGGUUCAAUCCCCAGCACCUCCA